ACUCCUACGGGAGGCAGCAGUGGGGAAUAUUGCACAAUGGGGGAAACCCUGAUGCAGCCAUGCCGCGUGUGUGAAGAAGGCCUUCGGGUUGUAAGCACUUUCAGUAGGGAGGAAGGUAGUGUAGUUAACACCUGCAUUAUUUGACGUUACCUACAGAAGAAGCACCGGCUAACUCCGUGCCAGCAGCCGCGGUAAUACGGAGGGUGCGAGCGUUAAUCGGAAUUACUGGGCGUAAAGCGCAUGCAGGCGGCCUGUUAAGUCAGAUGUGAAAGCCCGGGGCUUAACCUCGGAAUUGCAUUUGAAACUGGCAGGCUAGAGUCUUGUAGAGGGGGGUAGAAUUUCAGGUGUAGCGGUGAAAUGCGUAGAGAUCUGAAGGAAUACCAGUGGCGAAGGCGGCCCCCUGGACAAAGACUGACGCUCAGAUGCGAAAGCGUGGGGAGCAAACAGGAUUAGAUACCCUGGUAGGAUAGCG
RNAcentral lists this ribosomal RNA (472 nucleotides) under uncultured bacterium. Its description in RNAcentral is "bacterial SSU rRNA". It matches the Rfam family "Bacterial small subunit ribosomal RNA", at positions 335 to 799 of the family's 1533-position model. The record is from RNAcentral.